CCCUUAGAUGUCCUGGGCCGCACGCGCGUUACACUGAUGCAUUCAACGAGCUUAUAACCUUGGCCGAGAGGCCUGGGCAAUCUUGUUAACGUGCAUCGUGAUAGGGAUAGAUUAUUGAAAUUAUUAAUCUUGAACGAGGAAUUCCUAGUAAACGCAGAUCAUCAAUCCGCAUUGAUUACGUCCCUGCCCUUUGUACACACCGCCCGUCGCACCUACCGAUUGGAUGGUCCGGUGAAGCCUCGGGAUUGUGGUUCUUGCCGCUUUGUUGUGGCGUGACCGCGAGAACUUGUCUAAACCUUAUCAUCUAGAGGAAGGUGAAGUCGUAACA
This 328-nucleotide ribosomal RNA is filed under the name uncultured eukaryote. RNAcentral's name for it is "partial 18S ribosomal RNA". It matches the Rfam family "Eukaryotic small subunit ribosomal RNA", at positions 1470 to 1796 of the family's 1831-position model. The record is from RNAcentral.